GAUGAACGCUGGCGGCGUGCCUAACACAUGCAAGUCGAGCGGAAGGACGAUAAGCUUGUGUCUUUGAUGUUUGCGGAGGGCGGGUGUGUAACACGUGGAUCACCCACUUAUCUGUCUGGGAACAUCACGGGAAACCGGAUAUAAUACCGGAGGAUCUUUUGAACCGUAUGGUUCAAUGGAGAAAGACGGCCUUGCUGUAUGUACUAGCUGGUUACGCGCUGCAUUAGCUAGUUGGUAGGGUAACGGCUUACCAAGGCAACGAUGCGUAGCCGAGGGGUGAGGAUGAUCGGCCACACGGGAACUGAGACACGGUCCUGACUCCUACGGGAGGGAGCAGUAGGGAAUCGUCGGCAGUGGGCGAAAGCCUGACGGAGCAACGCCGCGUGUGUGAUGAAGGUCUUCGGAUCGUAAAGCUCUGUUAUGGGGGAAGAACAGAUGUGGAAUGAGCUGUGGACAUCGUGACGGUACCUAAUCAAGAAGCCACGGCUAACUACGUG
RNAcentral lists this ribosomal RNA (497 nucleotides) under uncultured bacterium. Its description in RNAcentral is "partial 16S ribosomal RNA". It matches the Rfam family "Bacterial small subunit ribosomal RNA", at positions 28 to 507 of the family's 1533-position model. The record is from RNAcentral.